Molecule: long non-coding RNA, 1199 nt
Filed under: Bemisia tabaci
Lineage: Eukaryota; Metazoa; Arthropoda; Insecta; Hemiptera; Aleyrodidae
Description: lncRNA ENSSSA1UGG009704
Source: RNAcentral
AACAAUUUUUCUUUUACCUUACCUUGGUUUUAUGAUGCCUUUUCCGGCUUGGAAAACUUCCGAGUCGUUUUUACCACACUGAAAGGCGGCGAGGCAAAUGCACGGUGUGGGAGUGGAGUUGGGAUUCUGAGGCUCACCAUCACCAUUAUUUGUGUUUCCACCGUUGUUGUUGUUGUUUCCAUUUUCGUUAUUACUGCCGUUAGCACCAUUGUUGGUGUUGGCGCCGUUGGAAUUGUUGUUUCCACCACUGUUAUUGUUGCCACCAUUGUUAUUGUUGUUGCCACCAUUGUUAUUGUUGUUGCCACCAUUGUUACUGUUACCACCAGUAUUACUAUUGUCGCCACCGUUGUUGUUAUUGUUGGUAUUUUUGUCCACCAGACAGCAUACAUUCAGUCCCGUACAUUGCUCGGGACGUCUCGAUCCGCUGGACGAGGGGCGGGGGCGCCGGGGAGGAGGCCCUCCCGCGGGGCCCUCCGGCCCCGGCCCCGGCCCGCCGCUGGGCCCCGCACGCGAUCACGCACAAGAAACCAGUCACCAGCGCAGCAUGGAGCUUCAUCGCGGCCGAGCUUCCACGACUGACACUCGCCGCGACGCCGACGCCGGCCGAUACGCCGGACGACUUGACCGUCGCGGCGCAGCGUUGCCGAUUCGCCGGAAACGGCAUUGAAUUUUGAAUCACGGUAGAAAUUGACCGCUUUUAAGGUGAUUCGUCAAGCUCAAGUGACGUGGUCGAACUGGCAUGCGAUAUAUCGCAUCUUUUAGGUCAAAAAUCUCGGCAGAUUUUGAAUUUUCAGCAAAAAAGGACGAUAGCCCCUGCGCCUGAGCCUUAAGAAUCAUCCUAAACCCAAAAAUCGGAAAAAUUUAGAGAAAUGAAAGCAGAAUAGUGUUUGGAAAAAAACCUCGCAUUCGAUACAGAACUCGAUAGCUGUAUCGAAUGCGAGGUUUUUUUCCAAACACUAUUCUGCUUUCAUUUCUCUAAAUUUUUCCGAUUUUUGGGUUUAGAAUGAUUCUUUAGGCUCAGGCGCAGGGGCUAUCGUCCUUUUUUUGCUGAAAAUUCAAAAUCUGCCGAGAUUUUUGACCUAAAAGAUGCGAUAUAUCGCAUGCCAGUUCGACCACGUCACUUGAGCUUGACGAAUCACCUUAAUGUGAAACUGAUUUGGGGUGUUUAGCAUAUUGCAUAAGCAUCACGGGGAAAAAGA